CAUUCAAGUUGGUUAAUUAGUCGAACAAUUUCCAACCUGGACCUCCACUCACAUACAAAGAACUCAAAAGCGACAUCUCCAGCAAAGCGGACAAAACCAACAGCGAUCUUUUUAUUCCGUGGGAGAAGCAACACCCUGGGCUCGUUGAGGGCGACAUCAUGCCGACGGAUAAGAAAAACGCCAUCAUCAAUCCAGGUGGACUUCGGCCCAACAAAAUCAUUCCUUACGUCAUCGAUAUAUAUUACACAACCGAACAGCGAAAUGUCAUAGCGUCCGCCAUGGACGCCUACCACACCAAAACUUGCAUCCGCUUCGUUCCGCGAACGAACGAAACCAAUUACAUC
Molecule: long non-coding RNA, 344 nt
Organism: Daphnia pulex (common water flea)
Lineage: Eukaryota; Metazoa; Arthropoda; Branchiopoda; Diplostraca; Daphniidae
Exons: 3
Source: RefSeq, a predicted model, not a curated record